Long non-coding RNA from Cynoglossus semilaevis (tongue sole), 1057 nucleotides. RefSeq lists it as uncharacterized. NCBI's taxonomy places the organism in Eukaryota, Metazoa, Chordata, Actinopteri, Pleuronectiformes, Cynoglossidae. The record is from RefSeq and is a predicted model, not a curated record. The transcript is spliced from 3 exons.
CGGUAUCCCGCGGGGCGUCCGUACGCUGCUGACCCGCGGAAUGGGGAAGCCGGUUAGCGUGCUAAACAGUAGCCUGUUAGAGCCGCACGGUUUGCACAUUCCUAAGUAAUUCUGACUGCACGUAUCGCUUCAGUCAGUGUGUUAAGUACAUCUUUUCAGGAAUAGCAGCAGACCGGAGGACUCCACGACGCCAAGAAGUCCGAAGCAUCUGGUUUUUGUUACGUGAACACCAUCGUCUUGGUCAUUUGAGUUGCUCAAGACAUCGGCGGCUGGAAAGAGCAAAUACUACGCAGUGAAUUACCCACGAAGCCAGCUUUAAACCGAUCAUGGCCAAAGUAAUGGAGAUGUACCAGCCGAGCGCAGUGGUCCUUCAGUGUGGAGCUGAUUCAACAUCACUUUUAAAAGGUAUGAAAAGAAAUGGAUUUAAUCUUUUCACAACUAUUGACUAAAGAGUUAGUGGCACAUCAACUGGACCAAUCCAGUACAGACAAGUUUGACUACAGACAGAACAAGUAGAGUUAUUGCAUUUACUUCAUUUGAAUUUGCAGAAGAUUAGGAGAAGGAGGGAGAGGAGAUUGGGGUGAGGACUUUGAAGUAUGUGCUAGAUGUACAGCUGUUUUGACUUUAUUCCAAAAAAAACAAAACAAAAAAACUUUUUUUUGCUACUUGACUUGUUUCAUGUAGCCAUUGUUGAAUGUGGAAUUCUUUAGAGUACUAAGUAGUGGCACAAGGCAAAUGAGUGGUUUGCUUCUGUUGAUAGUGGUUAAUUGAAGCAUUUUGUAACAUGCUAGUGCUAAACACUUUGAACAUGGUGUAGUCAUCUGAGAGCAUUUGUAUGGAAUGUUGUCUUUAUUUCAUCUUGUUUCAAGCCAAAAGAAGAGGUUAAACCAAGUUGUUCCACUCCUGAUGAUGCCCGGUGAUGGUUGAAACAUGGCGCUGUGUGAAGAUACAGGGGAAAAGAAGGUUUUGCUCUUAUUACGACGGUACGUAUUUCCAUCUCUGGUUCUCUUCACUUUGGCGAUUAACGCGUCAGUAUUCCGCAGAGCGUCCAUACGCU